GACGAACGCUGGCGGCGUGCUUAACACAUGCAAGUCGAACGGUGAAGCGCCUUCCUUUUUGGUGGGUGUGGAUGAGUGGCGAACGGGUGAGUAACACGUGAGUAACCUGCCCCCUUCUUCUGGAUAACCGCAUGAAAGUGUGGCUAAUACGGGAUAUUCUGGGUCUGUCGCAUGAUGGGUCUGGGAAAGAUAUUGUUUCGGUGGGGGAUGGGCUCGCGGCCUAUCAGCUUGUUGGUGGGGUGAUGGCCUACCAAGGCGGUGACGGGUGGCCGGCCUGAGAGGGUGGACGGUCACACUGGGACUGAGACACGGCCCAGACUCCUACGGGAGACAGCAGUGGGGAAUAUGGCACAAUGGGCGCAAGCCUGAUGCAGCGACGCCGCGGGAGGGAUGGAGGCCUUCGGGUUGUGAACCUCUUUCGCCAGUGAAGCAGGCCUGCCUCGUUUGUGGGUGGGUUGACGGUAGCUGGAUAAGAAGCGCCGGCUAACUACGUG
Molecule: ribosomal RNA, 494 nt
Filed under: uncultured bacterium
Lineage: Bacteria
Description: partial 16S ribosomal RNA
Rfam family: Bacterial small subunit ribosomal RNA
Source: RNAcentral